UACGUAGGCGGAAAAUUAAGUCAGUAGUGAAAUCCUGCAGCUUAACUGUAGAACUGUUAUUGAUACUGGUUUUCUUGAAUAUAGUUGAGGUAGGCGGAAUGUGUAAUGUAGCGGUGAAAUGCUUAGAUAUUACACGGAACACCGAUUGCGAAGGCAGCUUACUAAGCUAUGAUUGACGCUGAGGUACGAAAGCGUGGGGAGCGAACAGGAUUAGAUACCCUGGUAGUCC
This 229-nucleotide ribosomal RNA is filed under the name uncultured bacterium. RNAcentral's name for it is "partial 16S ribosomal RNA". It matches the Rfam family "Bacterial small subunit ribosomal RNA", at positions 568 to 796 of the family's 1533-position model. The record is from RNAcentral.